UGACGGAGAAUUAGGGUUCGAUUCCGGAGAGGGAGCCUGAGAGACGGCUACCACUACCAAGGUGGGCAGCAGGCGCGCAAAUUGCCCAAUGCACAAACAUCCUGCGAGGCAGCGACGAACCGCAGCAAUCCCGCUGGUAUCUUCACCAGCGGGACUUGGAAUGGAUGCAAUCCAAACACAGUGAUGAGUAUCAACUGGAGGGCAAGUCUGGUGCCAGCAGCUGCGGUAAUUCCAGCUCCAAGGGCGUAUACUAACAUUGCUGCUGUUAAAACACCUGUAGUCUGACACAGGGUUGCAGGUCUGCUGAGCGGCCUGGGGUCGGGUUCGGUGUGGUUGGCCCUCGGGUCGGCCGCGUCGUCCUCGCUCUCGGGGCAAAACCCUCAGCGGUAUGUUCCUGCACCCGAUCCAAUGACGGUGAGAAUGCCCCUGCCGAAAGUCUCCUUCAGUGAAGAUCGAGGCGGUUACGCUGCCAACGCCAGUAGGACACCACGUGGCCAGGGCCCCUCCGCGCCCUGGACUGCCCCACGCGUCCACCACCGGGGCCCACCGUUAUCGACACCGUGGAAAACUCAGUGUGCUCAAAGCGACCUGCCUAUGGCUGAAUGUCUGUCCAUGGAAUGUCAAAGCAUCGACCGAGUGAGGCAGUAGGAGUUGUGCUGGCCUUGGAGCCC
RNAcentral lists this ribosomal RNA (671 nucleotides) under uncultured euglenozoan. Its description in RNAcentral is "bacterial SSU rRNA". It matches the Rfam family "Eukaryotic small subunit ribosomal RNA", at positions 360 to 858 of the family's 1831-position model. The record is from RNAcentral. Lineage: Eukaryota; Euglenozoa.